CUUUCGAUUGGUAGGAUAGAGGCCUACCAUGGUGGUAACGGGUAACGGGGUGUUAGGGCACGACACCGGAGAGGGAGCCUGAGAAACGGCUACCACAUCCAAGGAAGGCAGCAGGCGCGCAAAUUACCCAAUCCCGACACGGGGAGGUAGUGACAAUAAAUAACAAUACAGGGUUCUUUUGGAUCUUGUAAUUGGAAUGAGUACAAUUUAAAUCUCUUAACGAGGAACAAUUGGAGGGCAAGUCUGGUGCCAGCAGCCGCGGUAAUUCCAGCUCCAAUAGCGUAUAUUAAAGUUGUUGCAGUUAAAAAGCUCGUAGUUGAAUUUCGGGAUCAAGGAAUCGGUCAUGCCUUGGUAUGUACUGGUUUUAUUGGUUCUCACCUUCUAAAGAACCAUAAUGUCAUUCAUUUGAUGUUAUGGGGAAUUAGGACUGUUACCUUGAAAAAAUUAGAGUGUUUAAAGCAGGCUUACGCUUGAAUACAUUAGCAUGGAAUAAUGAAAUAGGGCAUCAGAUUCUAUUUUGUUGGUUUCUAGGAUCGAUGUAAUGAUUAAUAGGGAUAGUUGGGGGCAUUAGUAUUCAAUUGUCAGAGGUGAAAUUCUUGGAUUUAUUGAAGGCUAACUACUGCGAAAGCAUUUGCCAAGGAUGUUUUCAUUAAUCAAGAACGAAAGUUAGGGGAUCGAAGACGAUCAGAUACCGUCGUAGUCUUAACCAUAAACUAUGCCGACUAGGGAUCGGAUGAUGUUAAUUUUAUAAUGACUCAUUCGGCACCUUACGGGAAACCAAAGUGUUUGGGUUC
This 794-nucleotide ribosomal RNA is filed under the name uncultured Glomus. RNAcentral's name for it is "SSU rRNA". It matches the Rfam family "Eukaryotic small subunit ribosomal RNA", at positions 319 to 1114 of the family's 1831-position model. Lineage: Eukaryota; Fungi; Glomeromycota; Glomeromycetes; Glomerales; Glomeraceae. The record is from RNAcentral.